UACGGAGGGGACUAGCGUUGUUCGGAAUUACUGGGCGUAAAGCGCACGUAGGCGGAUUUGUAAGUCAGGGGUGAAAUCCCGGGGCUCAACCUCGGAACUGCCUUUGAUACUGCAAAUCUCGAGUCCGGAAGAGGUGAGUGGAAUUCCUAGUGUAGAGGUGAAAUUCGUAGAUAUUGGGAAGAACACCGAUGGCGAAGGCAGCCAUCUGGACCGACACUGACGCUGAGGCGCGAAAGCGUGGGGAGCAAACAGG
Molecule: ribosomal RNA, 253 nt
Filed under: uncultured bacterium
Lineage: Bacteria
Description: partial 16S ribosomal RNA
Rfam family: Bacterial small subunit ribosomal RNA
Source: RNAcentral